This 424-nucleotide ribosomal RNA is filed under the name uncultured bacterium. Its description in RNAcentral is "bacterial SSU rRNA". It matches the Rfam family "Bacterial small subunit ribosomal RNA", at positions 9 to 411 of the family's 1533-position model. The record is from RNAcentral.
GAGUUUGAUCCUGGCUCAGGACGAACGCUGGCGGCGUGCUUAACACAUGCAAGUCGAACGAGAAGAGAUGAGAAGCUUGCUUCUUAUUGAUUCGAGUGGCAAACGGGUGAGUAACGCGUAAGCAACCUGCCCUCUAGAUGGGGACAACAGCUGGAAACGGCUGCUAAUACCGAAUACGUUCUUUCUGUCGCAUGGCAGAAGGAAGAAAGGGAGGCUCUUCGGAGCUUUCGCUGGAGGAGGGGCUUGCGUCUGAUUAGCUAGUUGGAGGGGUAACGGCCCACCAAGGCGACGAUCAGUAGCCGGUCUGAGAGGAUGAACGGCCACAUUGGGACUGAGACACGGCCCAGACUCCUACGGGAGGCAGCAGUGGGGAAUCUUCCGCAAUGGACGAAAGUCUGACGGAGCAACGCCGCGUGAACGAUGA